GACGAACGCUGGCGGCGUGCUUAACACAUGCAAGUCGAACGGAAAGGCCCUGCUUUUGUGGGGUGCUCGAGUGGCGAACGGGUGAGUAACACGUGAGUAACCUGCCCUUGACUUUGGGAUAACUUCAGGAAACUGGGGCUAAUACCGGAUAGGAGCUCCUGCUGCAAGGUGGGGGUUGGAAAGUUUCGGCGGUUGGGGAUGGACUCGGGGCUUAUCAGCUUGUUGGUGGGGUAGUGGCUUACCAAGGCUUUGACGGGUAGCCGGCCUGAGGGGGUGACCGGCCACAUUGGGACUGAGAUGGGGCCCAGACUCCGACGGGAGGCAGCAGUGGGGAAUAUUGCACAAUGGGCGGAAGCCUGAUGCAGCAACGCCGCGUGCUGGAUGACGGCCUUCGGGUUGGAAACCGCUUUCGCCUGUGACGAAGCGUGAGUGACGGUAAUGGGUAAAGAAGCACCGGCUAACUACGUG
This 468-nucleotide ribosomal RNA is filed under the name uncultured bacterium. Its description in RNAcentral is "partial 16S ribosomal RNA". It matches the Rfam family "Bacterial small subunit ribosomal RNA", at positions 28 to 507 of the family's 1533-position model. The record is from RNAcentral.